Callorhinus ursinus (northern fur seal) is the source of this 138-nucleotide non-coding RNA. NCBI's taxonomy places the organism in Eukaryota, Metazoa, Chordata, Mammalia, Carnivora, Otariidae. The record is from RefSeq and is a predicted model, not a curated record.
AAAUAUGUGCAGUGGCAGUAUCGUAGCCAAUGAGGUUUAUCUGAGAUGCGAUUAUUGCUACUUGAAAAAUUUCCCAAUACUAUGAAUCAAUUAAAUAUUAAUUCCCUUUCAUUAAGAACUAGGGUGCUGGAAAAAGGG